UUAUAUAGAUAAUUAUCUAUACAUAAGUAGUUAAAUAUUUUAUAAAAUAAAAAAAAAAAAAGUAAAAUCAUUGCUUAAAAUAUUAAUGUAGGUAUUAUUUUUAUAACUGUGGGGGUAAGUUAGUUAAUAACUUUGUUGGAAUAUCUGUGAAAUUAGUGAAAUUUGUGCCAGCAUCUGCGGUUAGACUAAAGAUUUAAUUAAUAUUUUUUAGGGUUUAUGAUGUGUGAGAUUUUUGUUAUAUGAUUUGGUGAAAUAAUUUAUUGAAUUUUGAUGAAAUUGACUAAAAAAAAUUUAGUAAAAGCAGGAUUAGAUACCCUGUUAUUUUAUUUUGUGUUUGUCUAAGGAUUAAGUAUAAAUUUAGAAGAUUUGGCGGCCAGGAUUAAUUAAAGGGGUUUGUUUUUUUAUUUGAUGUGACUCAAUGUGUUUCACUUAUUUUAUUUAGUAUACCGUCAUUUAGGUAGUUUAUAAUUAGUUAACUAUUGUAAGGUAAUUCAGAAAAUUAGAUCGAGGUGCAGAGAUAGAUAAGGAUAAAUUAACUACAAUAAUAUAUUAUUAUACUUACUUUUUUUAAAUUGAGGCUGCAGGUGGAUUUAGUUGUAAUUAAAGUUACAUGAAAUUUAUCUCGGUGUACAAAUUGCCCGUCAUUCUCUAUGAGACAAGUCGAAACAAAGUAGGCUUAUCGGAAGUUGAGCCUA
RNAcentral lists this ribosomal RNA (695 nucleotides) under Pseudoniphargus grandis. Its description in RNAcentral is "12S ribosomal RNA". Lineage: Eukaryota; Metazoa; Arthropoda; Malacostraca; Amphipoda; Allocrangonyctidae. The record is from RNAcentral.